RNAcentral lists this ribosomal RNA (280 nucleotides) under uncultured bacterium. Its description in RNAcentral is "partial 16S ribosomal RNA". It matches the Rfam family "Bacterial small subunit ribosomal RNA", at positions 74 to 354 of the family's 1533-position model. The record is from RNAcentral.
CCUGCCGUUGCCGGCGACCGGCGCACGGGUGAGUAACACGUAUGCAACCUGCCCGUGGCAGGGGGAUAAGCGGGGGAAACCCCGUCUAAUACCGCGUAACGCGGCCUAGGGACAUCCCAAGGCCGCCAAAGGGAGCAAUCCCGGCCACGGAUGGGCAUGCGGCGCAUUAGCUAGUCGGCGGGGUAACGGCCCACCGAGGCGACGAUGCGUAGGGGUUCUGAGAGGAAGGUCCCCCACAUUGGAACUGAGACACGGUCCAAACUCCUACGGGAGGCAGCAG